CAAGGAUAUACAAACCAUCACAGCAUGCAUGUAUAUACGUGUGUAUAUGUGUGUGUAUGUAUGCAUGUAUACCCAUGUGCACACUCCCAAGUCCCUCACAAACAUUCAUGUAAUAAUAAUGAAUGAAAAAGUGGUCAUGAGUUUGAAAGAGAACAAGGAGGAGUAGAUAGGAUUCGGAGGGGGGAAAAGUAAGGGAGAAAUCACAUAAUUAUAUUAUAAGCUCAGUAUUAAAUAAUUUAAAACAUUAUCACACAUAGUUAUCCAUUCUAACUCUCCAGCUCUUUUGGUGUGGGUAUAUACUCUUUUUUGGGAGGGGGUAUAUACUCUUUAUUGUAGAAUUUCUAUAUGACAAACAAUGUUCAUCGUAAUUGCUCUAAGUACCUCAAGUCUUAAAGGACGUACUUAGGAUAUUAAUUCAUUGGUUGUGUGGCAUUCCCAAUUUUGUCUCCCCUGCCAACCAGUGAAUUACUGUGAUGCAUAAAAAUGUCACAUGUCAUGUCUGACAAAACAAUGAUGACACCUAACACAGCACUCAGACAUUGCCUCCUUAUUGAAGACCUGGACUACAGCUGGUGGCACUGUGAGGAGACAGUGGAUGAUGCAGGGUGUGGCCUUGUGGCAAGAAGUAGAAGGCUGCUGCCCUGCAGGAAGGCCCAGAGUAGCCUGUGGAAGGAUGAUCUGAGCAGUGCUAGUGGGACCCUCAUAUACUAACCUAUCGAUGGCCAGUGGCCAGACAUGGAUCCAAGAUCCCCUGGUCCUCCAGCAGACCACAGAGAACAACCAAGUUGUCCCAGAACAGAAGAGAUGGUAUAACUCCUCAGGUGCCCCAGCCAACCUUCAGCCAAUGACCUAAAUAAUAAAUACUUCUUGUAUCGA
This is a long non-coding RNA of Mus musculus (house mouse), 876 nucleotides long. RefSeq annotates it as predicted gene, 42041. The record is from RefSeq and is a predicted model, not a curated record. Lineage: Eukaryota; Metazoa; Chordata; Mammalia; Rodentia; Muridae. The transcript is spliced from 2 exons.